GUCUGAUAUCUUUCACUGUCAUAAUCUUCUCAGUUAAUAUUUUUGCAAAGGCGGUCUCAGUCAGGGUGAAAUGAAAUGGUGAUAACAUCUGUGCUGCACCAUAAAAAAGAACGAGAUCAUGUCCCUUCUGGGAACAUGGAUGGAGCUGGAGGCCAUUAUCUUUAGCAAACUAAUGCAGGAACAGAAAUCCAAAUACCACAUGUUCUCCCUUAUAAGUGGGAGCUUAGUGAUGAGAAUACAUGGACACAAAGAGGAGAACAGACACUGGGAUCUGUUUGAGGGUGGAGGGUGGAAGAAGGGAGAGGAUCAGAAAAGAUAACUAUUGGGGCCAUGCGCGGUGGCUCACACCUGUAAUCCCAGCACUUUGGGAGGUUGAGGGCUGGAGGAUUGUUUAAGCCCAGAAGUCCAAGACCAGCCUGGGCAACAUGACGAAACCCCGUCUCUAAAAAAACACAAAAAUUAGCCAGGAGUAGUGGCACAUGCCUAUAGUCCCAGCUACUCAGGAUGCUGAGGUGGGAGGAUCACUUGAGCCUGUGAGGUGGAGGUUCGGUGAACCGAGAUCAUGCCACUGCACCCCAGCCUAGGCAACAGAACAAGACUCUGUCUCAAAAAAUAACUAUUGGAUACUAAGCUUAGUACCUGGGUGAUGAAAUAAUCUGUACAACAAACCCCUGUGAUACCAGUUACCAAUAUUGAAAUGCUUCAUUCUCUUUCACCCAUUCAUGAGAAAUAAUUAUUUCUCCCUUGAACCUCACAGGUCUUUGUAAAUGCCUCUAUUACCACAUUGCAUUUCAAUUAUGUUCAUAUGUAAUGCAAGCCAUUAGAAUGCCAAACCCUUGUGGUUCAGUCUUGAUGUGAUGUCAUGAUUAAAGAGGCACAGGCAGACCAAAAAAAAAAAAAAAAAAAAAACUAUGCUGCAGAAUCACAGUUACUGAGGCCUCACUCGUGGUGAAUUUGGGUGAAACAGGUGGAAGAGCUCAUGCAACAUUACUAACACUUGAAAGAUAUGGGGCAAAGGUAAUUCUAAGGACUAUCAAGUAGGUUGGUUUUUAUCAACUGCUGUUGACACACUGCAGAAAAUCACAAGCUUGGGUCACUUAGGGAAUAGUGGGAAAGCCAGAAAGCCCUUAUGGCAUCAUUUAAAGAGAUGCAUUUUGCAAAAUUAUAAAGAUAACGUGAAUAUAAAAAGAAAUGAUGUUACUUCCAAAUUACUUUAUCUUUCUUCAGAUCCCCUGAGUCACGGGUCAGGAGGGCACAUCAGUAAUCCUUCCUGCAGUGGAAAUGGUACAUUCUGGUUUCUUUGUUGUUGUUGUUUAUAGAGACGGCAUCUCACUAUGUUGCCCAGGCUGGUCUCAAACUCCUGGGCUCAAGGGAUCCUCCCACCUCAGCCUCACAAGUAGCUGGGACUGCAGGUGCAUAUGACUGCACUGCGUAGAAACGGUACAUUCUGGAUCAGGCCUAAGCAAAUCCAGGGAGCACAAGUAUGUUGCCCCAAAAGGUGAUGCAGACUCAUCAAUUACCCUUCUCUGUUGUAUCUGUGCCUCUCCCUCACCUCAUACCUAUGGCCUCAGAGAAGGCAUUCUUCAACCCAGUUGAUGGAGAAAAACUCAGGCCUGGUCAAGAAUAGGUCAGCUCUAUAUGUUAAUUGUUGCUCUGUACCCGUGUGGACUGCUGCCACAUGACAGUCCACUCAGGAGGGACUGUGGAAAACAGCAGCGAAGAGGAAUACGCUCAAAGCACAGGAGUCAAGCAGUCCAGCUGCUCAUCAGCUUGCUGUGAAGGGAGACAUAGCCCACAGUAAAUAAUAUACAUAGAUUCCUGGGCUGUGGCACGUGACCUGACUGAUUGGCAAGGGAGGAAAUAGAAGACUGAAGACAGGCUGGGCAUGGUGGCUCACGCCUGUAAUCCCAGCACUUUGGGAGGCUGAGGCAGGAAGAUAGGUCAGGAGCUCGAGACCACCCUGGCCAACAUGGUAAAACCCUGUCUCUACUAAAAAUACAAAAAUUAGCCAGGCAUGGUGGUGGGCACCUGUAAUCCCAGCUGCUCAGGAAGCUGAGGCAGGAGAAUCGCUUGAACCCAGGAGACAGAGGCUGCAGUGAGCCGAGACCACACCACUGCACUCCAGCCUGAGCGACACAGGGACACUCUGAAUCUAAAACAAAUAAAAUAAAAAUAAAUAGAAGACUGAAGACAAAGAGGCCUAGAGAAGAAGCAGGCAAGUGGCCUCUGGAAUUAGGCAACAAAAUGUGCAACUCUUUGUGUCUCAUACCAAGGCCUAUGAGAGAAUAUCCAUCACAAAGCAGGUGCAGAGCAACCAGGUGGCAGGGAUGACUCAUCCAGUGCAGUAAGCAAGCCUCUGUCCUUGGCCACUCUGGUGCUUCCUCAAUGGGCCCAUUAACAGAGUAGCCAUGGUGGCAGGAAUGCAGCUAAGGGGACUUCCCUGCUCACCAACCCCGAUGUAGCAACUACCACUGAAUACCUGAUCCAUUAGCCUAGAGACUGAGGCUGAGCUCUAAAUAUGUUACCAGUCCUCAAGGAAACCAACCAUCCACUUGGUGGCAAAUUGAUCCCAUCAAACCCAUUCUACCCUGGAAGCAUUUCUGUCUACUGGGAUUGAGUUCAAGAAUGGAUUUGCCUUUCCUGCUAGCCUUGCCUCAGCCAGCACCACAAUCCAGGAGCUUAUACAGUGUGUAAUGUAACAUUAUGGUUUCCACAUAACAUCAUCUUAAACCAGUGUUUCUCAAUUUUUUUUCUUUUUUUCUUUUUUUUUUUAAACGGAGUCUUGCGCUGUCUCCCAGGCUGGGGCGCAGUGGUACGAUCACAUCUCACUACAACCUCUGUCUCUCAGGUUCAAGUGAUUCUCCUGCCUCCCCGAGUAGUUGGGAUUACAGGCACAUGCCACUGGGCAUGGCUAAUUUUUGUAUUUUUAGUAGAGACGGGGUUUCACCAUGUUUUGGCCAGGCUGGUCUUGAACUCCUGAUCUCAAGUGGAUCUGCCUGCCUUGGCCUCCCAAACUGCUGGGAUUACAGGCACGAGCCACCUCACCCGGCCUUCAAUUUUUUUUUCAUUAUCACUCCCUUAAUAUCCUUUUUAGACUUUUUUUUCCUGUCAGCCUAUGAAACUUUUCUUUUUUUAUUUCUUUCUUUUUUUUUUAACAUGCCUUCUGAAUUCAAAAACUCCCAUGAAAUUUUAAUACCACAGAUAUACUGUAUUAUUCCUCCUCCUCCUCCUCCUCUCUUCUUCUUCUUCUCCCUCUCCCUCUCCCUCUCCCUCUCCC
RNAcentral lists this long non-coding RNA (3277 nucleotides) under Homo sapiens (human). RNAcentral describes it as "HSALNT0250778". The record is from RNAcentral. Lineage: Eukaryota; Metazoa; Chordata; Mammalia; Primates; Hominidae.